Molecule: ribosomal RNA, 243 nt
Filed under: uncultured bacterium
Lineage: Bacteria
Description: partial 16S ribosomal RNA
Rfam family: Bacterial small subunit ribosomal RNA
Source: RNAcentral
GCAAGCGUUGUUCGGAAUCACUGGGCGUAAAGGGCGUCUAGGCGGAUAGUUUAGUCAGAGGUGAAAGCCCAGGGCUCAACCUUGGAACUGCCUUUGAUACUGGCUAUCUUGAGUUCGGGAGAGGUGAGUGGAAUGCCGAGUGUAGAGGUGAAAUUCGUAGAUAUUCGGCGGAACACCAGUGGCGAAGGCGGCUGACUGGUCCGGUUCUGACGCUGAGGCGCGAAAGCGUGGGGAGCAAACAGG